UGAGAAGUAGCAUAAGUAAAUGUGACCUUUUUACGCUUGGUUAAUAGUAAAUAUUACUCUUUUCAU
RNAcentral lists this transfer RNA (66 nucleotides) under Nautilus pompilius. Its description in RNAcentral is "tRNA-Val". The record is from RNAcentral. Lineage: Eukaryota; Metazoa; Mollusca; Cephalopoda; Nautilida; Nautilidae.